This 450-nucleotide ribosomal RNA is filed under the name uncultured bacterium. Its description in RNAcentral is "bacterial SSU rRNA". It matches the Rfam family "Bacterial small subunit ribosomal RNA", at positions 11 to 507 of the family's 1533-position model. The record is from RNAcentral.
GUUUGAUCCUGGCUCAGAACGAACGCUGGCGGCAUGCCUAACACAUGCAAGUCGAACGAAGCCUUCGGGCUUAGUGGCGCACGGGUGCGUAACACGUGGGAAUCUGCCCUUCGGUUCGGAAUAACAGUUAGAAAUGACUGCUAAUACCGGAUGAUGACGUAAGUCCAAAGAUUUAUCGCCGAAGGAUGAGCCCGCGUAGGAUUAGGUAGUUGGUAGGGUAAUGGCCUACCAAGCCGACGAUCCUUAGCUGGUCUGAGAGGAUGAUCAGCCACACUGGGACUGAGACACGGCCCAGACUCCUACGGGAGGCAGCAGUGGGGAAUAUUGGACAAUGGGCGAAAGCCUGAUCCAGCAAUGCCGCGUGAGUGAUGAAGGCCUUAGGGUUGUAAAGCUCUUUUACCAGGGAUGAUAAUGACAGUACCUGGAGAAUAAGCUCCGGCUAACUCCGUG